GCUGGGUGUGGUGGUGGGCACCUGUAAUCCCAGCUACUUGGGAGGCUGAGGCAGGAGAAUCGCUUGAACCCAGGAGGCGGAGGCUGUGGUGAGCUGAGAUCAUGCCACUGCAUUCCAGCCUGGGUGACAGAGUGAGACUCUGUCUCAA
RNAcentral lists this non-coding RNA (148 nucleotides) under Homo sapiens (human). Lineage: Eukaryota; Metazoa; Chordata; Mammalia; Primates; Hominidae. The record is from Rfam by way of RNAcentral.